This 57-nucleotide transfer RNA is filed under the name Ampullaceana lagotis. RNAcentral describes it as "tRNA-Ser". Lineage: Eukaryota; Metazoa; Mollusca; Gastropoda; Lymnaeidae. The record is from RNAcentral.
GAAAAAGAUUAAUUGAAGCUGCUAACUUUGAUGUGGGGUUGUUAACUCCCUUUUUCU